Molecule: transfer RNA, 51 nt
Filed under: Climacostomum virens
Lineage: Eukaryota; Ciliophora; Heterotrichea; Heterotrichida; Climacostomidae
Description: partial tRNA
Source: RNAcentral
UUUGAAGUGCCAUGGAGAACUCGUGGAAAUGAGCUCGCACUACGUCAUCAC